Non-coding RNA from Streptomyces violaceusniger Tu 4113, 75 nucleotides. Lineage: Bacteria; Bacillati; Actinomycetota; Actinomycetes; Kitasatosporales; Streptomycetaceae. The record is from Rfam.
CUUCAGCGAGCCGAGCCACAGCGGCCGGUCGGCCGGGCGCUUCUUCCCGUACGUGGCGAGCAGGGCGUUGGCCUC